This is a long non-coding RNA of Orcinus orca (killer whale), 20728 nucleotides long. RefSeq lists it as uncharacterized. The record is from RefSeq and is a predicted model, not a curated record. NCBI's taxonomy places the organism in Eukaryota, Metazoa, Chordata, Mammalia, Artiodactyla, Delphinidae. The transcript is spliced from 7 exons.
AUUAUUGUGCAAAAUAUGGCAUCAUUAAGUCAGAAGGUAUUGAAAGAACAGCCUAAAGGCUUUCGUACAGUUCUGGAGUUUAGCCGAUGGCAUGCCAAAGUGACUGAUGCUUCACAAAUUGUAAUUUAUCACACUCAAAUAGUUGGAGUUGUAUUUAAGCUGUAAGCAAUACUUAGGGCCUUUAAUACAGCUAAAAUACGGCACUUAAGAUUUGGGGAACUAUUAUCUUCAAUCCUUUAAACACUCAAAAUGCCUGCUUGGAAAUAAAACCCCUACAGGGCCUUCAAGUGUUACUAGUAGCAAACCAAAGUAGAGGUAGUUUACAUAGUGGCGACGAUGCCAGUGAUUCUGUGUCGUAGGCCAGCUUGUAUGGGUUAGGGAGGGAGAGGAAGGUUGAAAAUGGGAGGCCUCUGCGGUCCUUACCUCAUUCCCUGUAGGGUCACAGAGUACUUCUAGACGUGGUGGCUACACGAAACGUGGCAGGAACAUAAGGCUGCGCGUUGCUAGAUCAGAUUUUUUCACCUGACGUCCCUAAGUAUGUAUGUUCAGGAUCUGGGAUGUCAAGUGAAUGGGCAGGAGUGUAGAAUUCUUGGCCAUGCUGUCAAAUCUGUUCCAAACGUAAUUGCCUGGAUAUGUGGGCUUGAUACGAUACCUCUUGGAGCCUCAGUUAUCACGUGCAAAAUGAAGGUACUUGUAUCUGUCUCGAGGGUGUGUUGGGUGUUCCUUUGUCUCUCUGGGAGACAUUUUCCAAAAAAACCAAGACUGGUUUGCCAAGUGCAUAGAUUUCUCCCACGGGGACCUUGAUUCCCCCAGGAUAUGUGGUACACUGCUGACAGUGGUAUUGGUCAUAUUACAAGGGCAUUUUGAGAAGUGUACUUGAAUCCCCAGGGGCCUGGCCUUUCUGACUGCAUCCUUCUUCACCAAAAAAGUGACUAAGCUGGUCUAACUCUACCGGAGAACCUGGCAGAGCCAAAAUUUCAGCCUUUUGAAAGUAAGGAGCUAAGUCAGUUCUUAACUUCCUUCAUUCUCUGAACAGUAUAUUUCACUUUCUUAGCAAAUUAAACUUGCAGAAUGAAAGAACUUGAUUCUUCUGUACAUUCUGUCCUAUAAAGUGCUUUUCUUUAUAUAGAACCCAUCCCAAAAGGUAUUGUUAAUACUAUAUUCAGAACUUUUCACGUGAAUAUAGUGUAUGUGAUUUUUAUCUAUCUCCUCUUAGCUAUAUAAAAUCUAUAUCUCCUUUUUAAAAAUACAAAUGAGAAUACUGAACAUUCUGUAAAUUAUUUUUGUCUAUGUAUCUGGGAGAUGUUUCUGUAUCUGCACAUACCUCAUUUCUUUCAGUGAGUACUGCAUUGUGUGAGUGCACCUUAAUUCAUUUAACUGGACUCUUUCUUGAUGGACUUAAUAGACACUUCCUGCUUUUUUGCUAUUAAAAGCACUUCAGUAAAUACGUUUUUAAUAUUUGUUCACUUGUAUAACUAUAUAAGAUACGUUCCUGGAAGUUGAAUUUCUGAAUUUUGAUUGAAUUGUAGAUAUUUAUAUAUAGUGGCUGAUAUAAAAGAAUUAGAAAGUCAGGUAUUAAAGAACAUUUACUGUGGGUGUGUAUAUGAAUGUUUUUCUAGGUUAGAUAAAAGAAACUUGAAGAUACUAUCAAAUGGAUGCCCUCAAAUGACUGCCCAUUUAUAUUCCUACCAGUAGUGGAGAUGCAGUAAUGUCCAUCUGCUGGACAAAGACAAUCUCAUUAUUUUAGCUUUGCCCUCCAUUUGUUUACUUUCUCUUUCUGAGGCUCCUAUUGAUUGGAUAACCCUUCUGGAGGUCCUGUGUGUCGCUUUCUUUCAUAUGCUCUUUUAGUCUUUUAUUGUGUGGGACAUUUCUUGGACUUUCUCAUCUAGCACUUUCAUUGAUUUUUUUCAUGUUGUCAAUUUUUUUAAAAAAAUUCCCUUAUUCUGGAAAAUUUCAAACGUAUGCAGAAGUAGAGGGAAUGGUAUAAUGAACCCAGUCAGCUUUAAGAAUUGUCAGCUGAUGCCAGUCUUAUUUCAUGUAUAACUCCAUCCUCUCCCCCAAUCAACCCUCAAAUUAUUUUGAACUUAAUACCAGACAUAUUUUUGGUGCACAUUUAUUUUUCAGUGUAUUCACUUCGAAAACAUAAGGACUCUUCUUUUUUUUUUUUUUUUUUUAACGGUUCAGUAGUGUUGGGUAUAUUCCCAUUGCUGCAAAAGCUCUCCAGAACUUUCCACCUUGCAAAACUGGCAUUUUAUACCCAGUAAACAACUGCCCAUUUUCCCCUCCCCCUAGCCCUGACAACCACCAUUCUAAUUUUUGUGUUUCCGACUUCAUGUAAGUGGAAUCCUGCAUAAUGUCCUUUAGGUGCAUCCCUGUGCCAUGAGAUUUUUUUCUUUUUUUAAGGCUAAUGAUUCCAUUGCGCACAUACAUAUAUUUGCAUACAUACAUACAUAUGUAUACAUACACCACAUUUCUUUAUCCAUUUAUCCCUCGAUGGACAUUUGGCUUGCUUCCACCUCUUGACUUGUGAAUAAUGCUGCAGUGAACACAGGAGUACUAAUGUCUCUUCAAGAUCAUUUCAGGUCUUGGAUAUAUACCCAGGAGUGGGAUUGCUGGAUCAUAAGGUAUAACUGUAUUUUUUUAUUUUUUGAGAAACCUUAAUGUUUUCCUUAGUGGCUGUACCAUUUUACAUUCCCACGAAGGGUUCCAGUAUCUCCACAUCGUCAUCAGCACUUAUUUUCUGGUUUUUAUUUUUGUUUUUUUUUUCUUUUUUUUUUCUUUUUUUUGCGAUAUGCGGGCCUCUCGCUGUUGUGGCCUCUCCCUUUGCGGAGCUCAGGCUCCGGACGCGCAGGCUCAGCGGCCAUGGCUCACGGGCCCAGCCGCUGCGUGGCACGUGGGAUCUUCCCGGACCGGGGCACGAACCCGCGUCCCCUGCAUCGGCAGGCGGACUCUCAACCACUGCGCCGCCAGGGCAGCCCUAUCUGUGCUCUCUUAGCUCAUCGACCACCCUUUACUAUUUUGAAUUAUCUGGUAGUUCAUGGAUCUCUCCUUGUCUGGGGUUGGCUUCUGGAGACUUAUUCCGAUCAGGUGGUUGGGCUGUGUUUCCCUUUUCUUUGUAUGCCAUGUAAUCUUUUAUUGGGAAUUGGGCAUUUGGAAAAACAGCCACCUCUCCCAGUCUCUGGACUGGCCUCGUAUGGGGGAAGUCAUCUCAGCUAGAGAUUUGGGGAACCUUUCAACCCUUUUCUGGGGAUGCAUCUUUUCUGGGCUUGUGUGUAUGAUUUCCUAGUUAGACUUGCCACUGUUUUCUUUUCCGGAGCCUGCAGUCUCUUACUCCCUCUGGUGUCUGUCUGUGGUACUGCAUUCCCCACCGUAUAACUUGGACAGAACAUGACUGUUCUCAGGGGCCCCCCAACCUGGCAUCCUUCCCAUCAGUGUCCUGAGUCAGAGAGACAGAAACUAGUCUCUUAGGCAGCCCCUCAAAAAGCCAAAACUUUGGACUCAUGUGUCACUCUUUUUUUUCCCUCCCAGGAGAGAAGCUGGGAGUUUUCUGGUCUCCUGUCCUCACUGGGGGAGUGGGAGGGACUAGGGCAGGCAAAAUGCGAGGAAUGUUCUUGCAUCCUGUGUGGCUCUUCUUGCUUCGUGCUCACCUGGUGCUGCAGCCUCUUCCCUGGUUUCUGUGGUCUGUGUAUCCCUGCUCGGUGGUUGUCUCUGCGUGGGAAUGAGGGUCUGGAGCUUCCUAUUCCUCUGUCUCGCUGACGUCACUCUAAGGACUCUUGCUGAAAUAUAAUCAAAUAUCGUCGUUACCACUAAAAAUAGCAGUAAUCUCAAUAUCCUUAAAUAUCCAGUAGUAGUCAAAUUUCCUUGAAUGUUUUUAUUGCGUAUUUAUUUGAAUAGGGAUCUAACUGAUUGAUGUGUUUCUCAAAUUUCUUUCAAUCUAGUGGUUCCCCUUCCAUCUAAGAAAUCAUUUAAAUACACACAGGCCUCAUUUUGCAUGGGACCAGAGAAAAUAAACACGCAAGCUGAAAACAUGCAAAAUGGUCCUAAUAAUCAAUAGGAAAAAAAUAUGAUUGUUCUGUGCCUAUAAAAUUUUACAAAAUAUUAAGUCUUUUGCUUUCAGUUAUAACUGUAAAGGAAAAUGUAAAAUAGUAGAACUUAUAUUUAAUAUACUAUCUGAAAUAUUAGUAAUAUUGAGAAAGUAUUCUGUGUCUUUGUUAAAAAAGAAAAAAGCAAAAAACAAAAACCCAAACUUAAUCAAUAGUAGUUUGAACAGUGCUUGCCUUCUCAUCACAUAACUUACAAGCAUUUUUCUCUAUGCCUUGGUGAGUUGUCAUAUUUCUAACUUUGGUCAUGAAAUACUUCUGGAUUCUUUUUAAUGUGUAGCUUUUUAAUGGUAUCCCUCCUCUGGGACAUCAUCGUCCUUCUCAUCACAACAGCUUUCCUUAUUCAUCUCAGUAAGUCUGUCUUCACUGAGUCCCUUUGGCUGCAUCUCUGAGCCUCUCAAUGUUGCACUGUCAACACGCCCAUGGUCCACUGUUUGUUCCAUAACCCCAUUUACAUUUGAUUCAAACUUCACUUCCAUCGUUCUCACACUUUGUUUCUUUGCUGUGCUUUUGUCUUUGUUGGCCAGUUUCCUGUUCUAGCUCUCCAUUUUUGUAAAAUGUCACUUGGGUUUAUUGCUGGGAGACACGGCAGCAACACAACUACAUGCUUUGUUGUCUUUGCUGCCUCUGUGAAGAUUGAAUAACACAUGCUUGGUGACCAAUCACUAGACUUUGAAAGAAAUGUGUGUGUGUAAUUUACUCGGUGAAUUGUGGACUGAAGAGCUAGCCACAGAGUUUAUCCUCUGUGCAGUUAUUCACAAAUGAUAUACUGUAGUAGCUGUUAACAGGAACUGUGUUCGUGGGGACGGGUGGUGUCUCCCUCAAUGGUGAUAAGCAAAGCUCGUGCUUGCCAGAACCUUGCAAAGCCAAGGCAGCCUGCACUUGUCUUAGAAGCAUCUCUUAUUUCUUGGGGUCAGUUAUCUAUUUACUUUGGCUUUUCCUUUUGAAACUAUGGGGAUCUUUGUUUUCUUUUAUUUGUAAUUAAGAAUUAUAAUUAAGCUUUUCUUUCUGGUACUGGUCUGGAUUUUCCCUCAUAUGUAGAUGGACCUGGUUCUCUGAUAUGCCUUUCUUCACCAUUAGAAGGAUUUCCAUGGACUGGAAUUCCCAGUAGGGUCCACCUAUAGGGAGUCAACUGCUAUACUGGGGACCCUCACAACAGACACCCCUUAAGUGAAGAGCAACAGUUGGUCACACUUGAUACUUUAUCUUUUUCCAGGCGUCACUCGACUUACAGAUUCUUCCUCAUCCAGGACACACCUCGUUAGCAAGAGAGGUGGAGUGACGUGGUGUGGGGUAGAGGCUCCUAAGCAAGGCUGUCUGUCCUCAAAAUUUGACUCUGCUCUUUUCUAGCUGAGGCUGUGAGUUAUUUAUACUUCUGUAUCUUAACUUUUCUCAUCAAUAAAAUAACAGUAGUAGAAAAUGCCUCAUGGAAUUGUUUGAAAAUGACAUGAGUUAAUAAUAUUAAUAUACGUAGGACAGUGGUUGGCACAGAGUAAGAGCUGUUUAAGUGUUUGAAAAUGAAUAGCUUUGAAUUUCAAGAAAUGAAAUGGAUCUGAAAAUAGGCCCUUUUAAUUUCUUGUCUCCACAUCUGGAACAGUUCCCUGAAUACAAGGAGGUUUAAGAAAUUUUUUUUCCUGAUUAAAAAUCAACUAGGUUCCGUGGUGACUGCUUCUGCAGUUAAGUAGGUGGUUAAUAGGAAGUAAAUGUAUAAGUUUGAAGGACUAAGUGUGUCCCUGACAGGCCACACAGGCAUCGCAGUAGCAAUUAAAAUGAAUUUAUCGUACAGCCAGCGAAGAGAGGGAAGAGACACAGCAAAGGCAACUCAGUGACACGAUUCCAAACAUCUGUUUGCUUCUAUUUUUGGUAAUCAUUGCAUUCUCACAGUACUUCAGUCAGAGCUGGGGGAAAGCAAGAACACUACCUAUUUAAAGCCCAACAAAAAGACCAUAAUAAAAUAUUCAGCAAAAGUUCUAACGAAGCUGUAUUAAACAAAAAAAGAGCUAUGGACAUUGUUGUCCUGUAAGCGCUUGUCAGGUGUUUUUAAUCAUAUUAUUCACUUACGAUUGCGCAUAGUGUACAUCAUCAAGUCUCAAGUGUCUUCAGUUCUAAAAGCAUCAACACUGAGCAGGAGUCUUUUUCAAGGACAAAUCCCAUAAAACUUUCCUUUAAAGAAAAUGAGGGAAAACCCACGAGAGCAAGAAGUAAAUUGUCUUUUAAAACAGGAAGGAGAAAUAAACAGUUACACUAAAAUUAGGAAGCCUCACUGAUCCCAAUUCAGUCAGUUGUUGCCAUGAUGUCAGAAAAUGUUGACAGAUGCAUGGUCCUUAAAGGUGUUUUUAUUUUUCCUUUGAAACAGACUCAAACUUGUAUAAAAGCUGUAAGAACAGUACAGAGAACAUUUCAUCAGCCAUUUGGGUGACAAUUAUCGACAUGACAUCAUCAUCCAAAUACUUGGGUAAAGAGUUCAGAAGUCGUUAUUCCCCUCCUAUGACAAGAAAAAGCUGGACACGUGGCAAAUCGAAGACUUUCCUUGCACCCAUCUGAGACGUGCAGCCCCAGGGCAAACCGUCCGCCCCAAAUCUGGAGAGUUGGUCACAACCAGAAAGAUCCUUGGGGCAGAAGCUACGGGAUGCCAAGCUGGCGGGAAUAUUUAAACCAGCCCUCAGGACCCUCUCUGCCCUCUCUCCCCACCCUGCUUCCUGGAGAACGUCCCUUCCGUUCUCCAGAAGGUUCCAGAACACAGCACAAUAUAUCUUUAUGUGUUUUUAUCAAUCCCAGGGACUCAGGAUUGGCAUGAAACUUAUUAGAGCGAAUUUAAAGCAUUGCAAAAUUUUACUGCAACUUUGAAGAGAUUCCUGAGGGAUUUUUUUUUUUUUUUUUACUUGAAAAUUUAAUAAAAUAACCCCUUGGUCAUGAAUCUUUCCCCGGGGAAGUUGAUGGGGAAUUGUGUUCACACCUGCGGUGACGUGUACUCCAGACUCGAUUCAAUUAUAAAUCUCUGUGACCUCAACUCACCUACAGAUGGCACUGAAAGGCAUGAAAACGGUUCAAAUCUACUCUAAUUACAAUGACGUAUACAAUUCUGCAAAAUCAAUGAACAAUUCCUGAAGUUGCCAUACAGCAAAAUGGCGAGGAGUUGCAUGAAAACCGAAAUCCUACUUCAUUCAAUCAACAGGGAAAUGUUUUUAUUGUCUCUAAUUUUCAUUUAUUUUAAAAUCAACUUAUAAUCAUUGUGAAUGGACAUCUCUCAGAAAAUUCAACUAAACUCACCAUCCCUUUUGCCGUUGGCUGUUGCAGGGAGGGGUGUAUCUGUUGAAACCUCACUCUCUCAGGAGAACACAGAGGGAUGCAUUCUGUCUUCCUAACUGAGAACCCACUAUCCUGCGAGAGAACAUCUUAGCGCAGUGAAAGGCUGUUCCUUCCCAGCACCACGAAGACUCCAGCCCACUCCUGUUAAAGCCCUGGCCAGGGCCGUUCUGUGUCUGUUUUUGCUGGAGGUGAUCUUGGAGGCAGCCCCUCCUCCUGGUGCUUUGUCCCGGGAAAAGCCGCCUCUCCUCGGCCUGUCUGGGGCCUGUUUCCCACCCUCUCAAAGUCCCGAGACUCUCAUGCUAGGAGACCCUCAAAUCUGUGAAAAGCAACACAGUGCAGAGCGUUCACGGUACAGACCCUGAAAGGAACGCACGGAUUCCCAGCUUUUAUUAGACAGGAAAAGCGUUCUGGACCAGGGGGAGACCGCCUCUGUUUCAUCUCCUGAGUGUCACCGGGUUAGAUGCAGCCCAGAGAACCUGGCGUGGGCUCAGGGCAUGGGGAGACUCCGGCUGGGCCUCUGCAGCCGGAUCCCAGAUUCUUUUCCAUUACGGAAGAUGACUUCUUGACCCAAGGACAUACCUCUUAAUCUAAGGUAUGACAGAGAGAAAUAAUCACUUCAGGGGCCUAUCUUAACAUGCCUUUGUGGUCAGAAGAGGGCAAAGAGUGUCAAUCAAAUUGAUAAGUGAAGUGGAGUUUUUUCCAUCUAUUCUGCAUGCGAAGCACAUAGGAAAUUAAGGUGGGGAAUAAACUUUGGUCGUUUAUAUUCUAGGCAAACUGCUACUUCGGUUAUUUGCAGGUGAAAAGUGCCAGUUAUCUCAGCUGUGUUUGCUAUGACACGUUUUGAAAAAACAUUCAGGUUUAAAACCAAUGUAUGUUAAUUAACCAUUUGAGGUUUUUUCCCUUGAGACGUUUUAGACCAUAAUCGACCCCAUUUUUAUAUAACUUUAUGAAUAACAAUUUGAUGUUAAUAUAAGCAUGGACUUAUUAAACAAGGAAACUUUAUGUAAGUGUUGGGUUCAAUGACACAAUAUUAACAUAUAGCUUUAUGGUUUUUAGAACUGACACUUGGAAUUGAGAGCUGCUAUCUUAUAAAGCUUAAGUUAUUUUGUAACUUUUAAAAGCAGCUAUAUUAUUACACUUUUUCAUCAGUUUGUAUUUCUGAUAUGAUCUCUUUCAUGGUCAUUAUUAGUGGACUGAAGUUUUGAAAAUCAGGCCUUUAUCUUAUAAAAAAGAUUCUAGGCUGAGGUUAUAAAUGAAACCAAGUCAUUGCAGUUUGAUUACUCAAGUCAUUUGGUAUUAAAAGGACUUCUGGGAGGGAUGGGGGAAAUAUGCUUCCAUUUCAUUUAUCUUUUCAGUUUUGAAUUCGGAUUUAAGGUAACGUACAGCCGACGGAAGAGAAGUAACCAGAACCACCACUGGUUCAUUCAUGUGACAGAACACUAGGUGGCGCUGUCUUCCGCAGGAAUUGGCUAGAAUUGACCAAGCGUCUCUUUAAACCCAUUUGUCAGGGAUAUGUGUGUUACUUUGUGUUUCCCAGAAGUCAGAUAAAAAUACUCCCUUCACUUUCUGUUCUUAAUGAAGUGUUAACUUUAUGAAUAAGCACCUACACUUGUAACAAACUGGACUUCUUGAAUAACACAACUCUGAGUAAAUGACAGGUUGGUGACUAUGACUUCCGGGUACCAAGACUCAAGGAACUUGUUUACCUUUCAGUUGUUGUUGCUAAUAAACUUUAGAACAGUUUUAGAUUUACAGAAACAUGUCAAAGCUAGUACACCUCGCAUCCAGUUCCUCAGUAUUAACAUCUGGUAACCCUUGUCACAGCCGAUGAAAUGAUGUUGAUAACUUACUAUUAACUCAAGUCCAGAUUUUAUCCCGAUUUCCUCAGUUUUUCCCUAAUGUCCUUUUUCUGUACCAAGAUCCCAUGCAGGUGACCGCAGGGCACGUGGCCGUCCUGUCUCCUCUAGUUUCUCUUGAUGACCUUGACGGUUCUGCGGCUACUGGUUGUGAAUAUUUUAAGAUGCCCCUCGGUUUGCACGUGUCUGAUGCUUUUCUGGUGGUCGAGCCGGGUUAUGGAUUUGGUGGCGGAAGACCACCGAGGUGCUGGGCUGUUCCAUCACCUGGUGUCACGCAGUUGAUAUGACCAAUCACUGUGCGUGUUGACCUUGGUCACCCAGCUGAAGGGGUGCUUGGCGGGUUUCCCCACCAUCAAGGCCCGAGCAGCCCUUUGGAGUGCGGCUGGGACAUUUUCAAAGCUGUUGACAGAUGGGGAGCUGCUCUUCAGAGAGGAGAGGUGAUUAGGACACAGAUGUGCACGGAGGGAAGCCGAAGUGAGGACGCAGGGAGAAGGCGGCCGUCUGCCAGCCCAGGAGAGAAGCCUCAGGAGGAGCCCACCCUGCCGACACCCUGAUCUUGGACUCCCAGCCUCCAGAACUCUGAGAGGGGAAUGAUUGUUGUUUAAGCUGCCCGUGUGUGGUGCUUGCUACAGCAGCCCUGGCAAACUAACCACUGGCUUUGAUAGAGGUCCCAGAAGAUUCCGGGCCGGGGCAGGAGCGUCCCCAGAGGUGACCAGGGCACAGCUUCUGGUGUCAGCAGGUGACCAGCGCAGGCAGCUCUGGGUGAUGUUGUCUCCUCCCAGGGUACCAGGAGGACCUCCUGAGGCCAUGAGGAAAGCUCUGAGCAGCCUCUCCUUGGCUUGCAGAUGCCGUGUUCCCGGGUGUCUUCACGUGGCCCUCCCUCUGUGUGUGCUCUGUUUCCUCCCACAAUGGUCUGGUACCCAGGACACCAUCUAAGCUUAACUGAUUACAACUGUAAUGACCCUGUUUCCAAAUGAGGUCCCAUUCUGAGGUCCUGGAGGUUGCGACUUCAACAUACCAUUCUGGGAUGACACAAGUCAACCCAUAACUGUUGCCAACCCCCAAAUCUAAUUCCCUAGUUUAGUUUCUCAGGGUUAUAAUUUGAAUAUUUAAAUCAAUAUCACAGAUGGGAGAGGUUGCUAAAAAUUAGAAAAAACCCACCCAAUCUAGAGAAACCCGAUCUCUGGGUGCCGGGCAAGGGUCAGGGGGGUGGUCUGCGUCCACAGUGCCCCCAGAGCAGCCCUGGGGAGGCUGGGAGCUUAGCCUUUCUCCACUUUCCUGCCGUAACAGCCUCCUCGUGGGCUUUCCUGUCCAUCCAUCCCUCACACUGCUGGCCGACUGGACUUUAUCACGUCUUUAUUUCACGAACACACUGACUUCACUGUGUGUCUGACUCAUAGAGACGUUACUGCACUCGUUUCUUGUAGCAACCGCAGGAAGUGAGUUCUGACCUUACACCUAUUUGGGAGCUGAGCUCAGUGAGCAGAGCUGGGCCAGGAGGGCACCGCCCCCAGGCUGUCAAAUGCAUAGUGCUGCCAGCAUGGCUUACCUGUGCCUCCGCCUUCUCUCCUCAUGGGGCCUCAUCCCCGUUGACUGCGCCACCCCCCCCCACCGCCUGCAGAGCGAAGGUGGCCCAGGGCCAGGGUAUCAGCUGCCGUUCUCGGGCCCCUCCCCAGACCUCCAGCCCAGAACCAGAAGCUCAGCGGGGGAUGAGAAGGCAGGGAUUUGUGAUAAGGAGGCGAUUCGGAGACACUCUCAAGUUUGAGACUCAAGCUCCGCCCGUCUGGGGGGCUCUGUCCUUGACGCCCCCCGCCGUCCCGGCCCCACCUCCCCCUUCGCUGCAGCCUUUCUCUGAAACCCCCUGCGGCCUCUUCUUCCGCUACCGGCGCUCGGUCCCUCUUCAGAGCCAGUCCCGAGUGUCCCUUCUUUAUGAAGGCUUUUUGCUUCAUCUCCGUGCCUGUUCUUGUAACCAGCCCUGCAGUGUCUCCUCAGAAGGAUCUUCUUCACCUUCUGUACCUACUUUUUUCUUUAUAAUAGUUUUCUUGCACUUGCACUGUCAUCACUGCACUUGUCCCCUUAAAGCCAGCCAUCUGAAACUGUGUUCAGGACUGUGUUCAACAAAGCACUGUAUUGAAUGACUACUAUUAACCCAUGGAAAACCUUCUUUAAAACUAAGUACAUGGACAAAAAAGAGAUUAGGAGUGAUGAUUCACUUUGGGGAAAAAAUGUCUUACAAAGAAGGAUUCAAAAGAUAAUCCUUUAACAGGGCAAUUGUUUGAAAAUGAUUUCUCUCUCCCAUCCAAACAUCUGGGCUCUGGCUCCCACCGACAGUCUGAAGGCUUCCGUGUCUGCUGUGUUCCCAGUUCUGUCACGUGUACCCGCCUGCCCACAUCAGAGAGACUCUCUCAGGGCACUUAGAUUUGGGAGUCCGCCAUCUAGUGCUCAGAGCUGAAUGGAACGCUCCCGCGUGGUCUGACUUUCGUGAAAGCGCAUCUCUUUUUGUUCGUGGUCCUUUGCCAGCUACUUCACUCUUGAUUUCAGCAACCACAGCUCACUGGCGGCUCUGUGGGCGACUAAAACCACCAGACGCCUCUCCUCACUUGAACUGCGAAGUCUCAGACCGCCCUGACGUGCGUCUGAUCAGAGAGUAUGUUGAUGACUCUGUUGUUUCUAACAGAUGCAUAAGUACUUUGCAUCCUGGAACAUGGCUGCAUCAGAUGAGUUUUGAGUAACCACAACCCCCACGUCAUCUAUUUGAACUGGACUCACCACUGACGCUGAAAGGUCUUGAAAGGUCUUGCCUGCCCUCCAAGCCCUCUGGCCCGUCCCCUUCGCCACAAAAGCCCAAAAUACUCCAAACCACAUUUUUAAAGAACGCAUUUGGUGGUAAAACCUGAUCCAGAGCUAUUUAUAGGCUCUAUUCAUCCCACUUCCUAUGAAUUCAGGCAUUUUUCCCUGCAGAAAUGUUUUAUUUGAUUAAUGGUUUCUUCUCUAGUGUUCACUGAGGGUUUGCCACCAAAUAUUCAUGGUAUUAACCUCUUAAAUAAAAACAAAAACAAAAAACAAACCUUAAAUCAAAAACACAUCUGACCCUGAGGGUAGCAGAUGAGGGCUUAAGGACUUGUCUGAGCCCCAGCAUAAGUGUAAUUUAAAAAAUUUCACAGAUUGUUUUCUUGCUUUGUGGCACGGUAUUGACUUUUGGUGCUGUAAAUAGAGCCACCUUUGGUUCUAGAAGUUCUGUAUUAACAUUGCACAUUGGCCAAUCCAGAUAAUAUCUGACAAAUCUCUCCAACAGCCUAGAGAUGGAAGCCACCAAGACUGCCCCCAUCAUUUCCAGAUUUAAGGGAAACAUUCACUAUCACUCGGUGACCAUCUCGGGAGCCUUGGGACAUUUUUGGCACUUGCUCCUACUCAAAGAAUUUAGAUUCUUAAGAACACAGGAAAUUAAAUUGGAAGGCUUUCCUCCUAUGCAUUUAUCAUACUAGAACUUUCUGGGAUAAAAUUUUAUCAGUUUAAAACAGCUUCAUGAUAUGAAAUGGAGCACAAGUGUUAUCAAAGCAUCUUAUUUAAAAGCGUAGUCUCUGUAAGUUGUCUUUUUAAAAAGUGUGAAUGGUGAGUUAAAUUAUUGCGUGACUUUUCUCCCCAAAUUAAAAUUUUUAGAAGAAGUUUCCUCUCACAUCUGUGUGGACUCCAGUGGGGCAUUUUUAAAGUAAUUCCUUUGCCCACUUAGAUUAUCCAACUGAGUCAGGAUUAUUCCACGGUAAAGGUAUUUCACUUGUUUUAUUUUGCAAGAAAACAUGAAGAGAAGCCAAUCUAUUCCUUUUGUGGCCCUGAAUGCCUCUGAUUUCUCAGCCAUGCAAUAGUGACAGUACCAUUCAGAACUUCAGGAGUGAUUGUGUGAGUUCAAGGUAACUUUUUUAAGAGCCAAAGCACAGAAGAGAACAAGGAGAGGAUGGUGGGUGUAUGGGUAUCUUUGUGUAUUUAUAGUCAUCAUUCCCAUCAGGAAGAAUGGCCAGGUGUCCUCAGUUCAUCAGGUAGUCAAAGUGUAGAGAUAGAGAACUGAAGUCUCAUUCAACCGGCAGAAGUAGAAAUGAAGAUACAGAGAGGAACGGUGGGUGGUGUGAGCUCAUGUGAGAGAUGCUCUGGGCAGAGAACGCAGGAAGCUUGGAUGUGGAACGUGGCAGUUAAAAUCAUAAGGGUGGGGGGCUGAGCAAUUGUUUUAAUUCAGUGAAGCCUGUCAGAUGCUGGUGUUUUGCUACUGAGCACCUUUCAGCAGCUACUGCCCAGGAUGUAGUUUGUUUGAGCAAAGGGAAAGCCUUCACCACAGGCAAAAUGAGAAAUGAGCUUAUACUUGUGUUUCAGUGCCCUUGAUCUAUCCCACUGUGUAAGCAAGUAAAUACGGCUCCUCCUUUAACUGACCCCCUUCUACACUCUUGGGACAGGAGUCAAGGCAUCUGUGGUGUAUGUAGCGUGUCCCCUAAAAGAAGGCCUGGACAUGCUUUCCCAGUGGGAUUCUGACAGCACCUCGGGAGGCCUUCUUGGAGGGGCUACAGAAGUACCAAGUGUCCCCUCCUCCUUGGGACACGUGUCAGGCCUCCGAGCUUUACUUUAGGUUCUGUGAGCUUCCCGUACCUAAGGAAGGAAAAAGGCAUGUUUCCUCCUCCUUCUUCCUCCUUUUUGACUACAUCGUCCUCAGGGAAACCGAACUAUCUGGGGAAAGAGAAGGUUCUUUUGAGCAGAUCACUUUGCAAUAUGGGUCAAAGCUGGGGGGUGGCUCUCAAGCCUGGGCAUGCAUUAUACUAACCUUAAAUUCACUGAGAAGCUUUUCAAGUACACUGACACAUCCCCUGCCCACUCCCCCAGGGCAGAACAACAGAGUCAGUGUCUAGGGGUGGGGGGGGGAGGAUUCCGGUUUUCAAGUUCUCAGUGACCUGGGACGUGAAGACGUAAGCCAGCCUGCACGCCUCUGCACACCGAGAUUAAACAAACACCUACCCAGCCCCUGAUUCUGCCUGCCAGGAACCCUAACGGUGUGUGCUGUCCACCGAGCACCCUGUGUAUGGGCACAGGCUGAGAGUAAGCCAGGAGGCAUGAGGUGACGGAGGAGAUGCUGGAAGCAAAGGAGCACAGACUUGACCGAGGGGGACAGUGGAAAGUAAAAUGGCCAAAGGAAGCAGAAUUGUGAGGAGAAAAACACGGUGAAGAUGAAUUUAGUAAUUUCUUAGAGACUUCUUUUUGCUUUAGGGAUUCCUUACACUUUCUCUCCACGCUGGGUCACGUGUGUGAUUCUGAACUAAAGCGUGAACAGGUGGGUGUUUGUAGAAGAUGCGCCGUGGCGAAUCAGGUGACCAGCUAUGCAGGCAUUAGAUGAUAAUAGUUCACCUGUGUGGAGAUGGCUCUUGUGAAUUGAGAAUUUUAGACUGUUUUAGAAAGGACCGUUUUGUUUUUGUUUUUGUUUUUUUUUAAAAAAAAAGAUCACACGGGAAAAGAAGUUAAAAUUUAGGGAAAGCAAAAUAUUCCAUCCCUUUCCCCAGGCACCCAACAUCUAGGCAACACAAACAAAGUGAAAUUGUAAUGGUGCUUGCUAAGCCUGUUUGAAAACAAAUCCUGUUGGGCCCCCAUAAAGGGAUAAUCAGCUGUCCAGCCCAGCAACUCCUCCGUUCUCCAAUCUGAAAACACUCAAAAGAUGGAGGUAGAACUUGUAUACAAUUUUUUAAAGGAUGUAUCUAAUGGAAUCACCUCUCAUCCCACCCCCACCACCUGGUACUCAUUUUUAUAUUGAUGACAGUAGGAAAUGUUAAACACCAGUGAAAAGCUUCGCGUUACUGGGCCAGGUGUAUUAAAAUAAAAUUAAAAAUUGAAAUGUUAGGUAUAUACACAACAGCAUAAGUGAAAUGUGAUGUGAUAUAGCAUUUUCCAUUCAAAGCUUUUACAGUAGAAAAACUGAAUAAACAAAACCUCUCGUCUCUCUUGCUCCAGUGGCUCAGUGGAGCCUCCUGACUCAUUUAUUUUCCAUCAUAUCUUCAUAUAAAUAGUCUCACACAGACCUUACACAAUUUAGAAAAGAUUGCUGAAUCACAGAAAUAGCCCCCAAAUAUGGCAUUGUUACUUUCUAGAGUUUGACUAAAAUGAAUACUUGAUCAUUAAAACAAUAUUCAAAAUCACUUGAAGCAAUAAAGAAAAUUCUGAUGUUUUGUAAGGCCCUAGAAGUUUCUGCAGAGAUCAGAAUCUUAUUGUUCUUCCAAACUACAUUGUCCAAAAAAGUCUGGAUACAGGAAAUUGUGGAUUUGAAAAGCUGAACCGUUAAAAAGUAUUCCUUCUUAUGGCAGAGCAGUUUCUAAAGCGCCUUUCCAGGGUGGUCUGGGCAAACCCCGGCUGCUGCGGGGGGCAGUCCAUGUCGCUUAACACGGCUGCCCUGUCUGUUUGCAGGUGACACUUUCAAGGAAAGAGACCCCCUUUUCCCAGCUGGGGUUCUAAGCGGCCUCCACCGAAGGAAACACUGAACAGUUUCAGAUUGCAGGGGGUGGGAGAUCACUGAAAUCUGGGAACGACACUGAAGCUUCUGACUUCACCUGCAAAAUCUAACAGGUUGGAUUAGUAAAUUUGUUUUUUUUAAACAGAGAAGCUAAAGCCUAGAGAAAAUACAAAGAAGCGUCAUGAAAGGCAUAUGUUAUUUUACUUUCAUAAAUGAGUUUAGCUGUGCUCCUGUCUGGGAUUUACUGAAAUGGCCUCUGAACCUCUGAGUCACACACCCCCUUGUAAACAUGAGGCCGACAUGGGUGCACUUUUGGUGGGACAGGUGUUGUCUUCUCAGAAGCCCGUGUCCAGAGGUUGGUCUAGCGAGGCCGGACUGCCCACGGGGAGCAGGCCAGGCCACGCACUGGUGGGCAGUGGCCCUUGCGAGCAGAAUCCUUUCCCAUGGGGGGUGUUCUUCCUGAGUGUUAGCCUUGUGUGUGGGAAGCAGGGGUGGCCGGUGACCCCAGCCCAGGAAAUAACUAGUGAGCAGGGAUUGUUACGUUUUCCUUCCUAAGGAGGCAGCCGUCCCGUGAGUGGCCUGAGUCCCCUGCGCCCUAAGGCUGCUGCUGGUACUGGCCCUCCGUGGCCGUGUAGAAGUCGUCCAGGACGCUCUGCAGGUAGUCGAACGUGGGCCUCUCCUCGGCCUUUUCUUUCCAGCACAUUUUCAUGAUGUCGUAGAGCUCGUCCGGGCAGUUCUCCAUGCGGGGCAUCCGGUAGCCCUGCGACAGGGCGGUCAUCACGUCGGCGUUCGUUCUCCCUGAGGCCGAGAAACCACAGGUACCGUUUAGAAGCCUGACCCAGGCUCGCGCGCUGCAGUGGUCCCCACCUCCUGCACCUGUGGCUGAAGCAAAGCUUCGGAGGCUGCCGCGGGCUGAGCUGUGUUCCCACCAUGCCCUCCCCUGCAAACCCCUAGGUUGCACUCCUAGCCCCCAGGACCUCAGAAUGUGACUGCAUUUAGAGCUAAGGCCUUUAGAGGGGUGAUCAAGUCAAAAUGAACCCUUUAGGGUGGUCCCUAACUGCCUCUGACUGGUGUCCUUGUAAGAAGAGGAGAUUAGGAAAGGUCGGGGGAGACACGUGGAGAAGACGGCCGUCUCAAGCCAAGGACAAGCCUCGAGAGAAAGCAAGCCUGCCGACACCUUGAUCUUGGACUUGCGGCCUCCAGAACCAGGAGAAAAUUAAUUUCUGUCGUUUGAGCCACUCAGUUUGUGGUAUUUUGUGCUGGCAGCUCUGAAAACUGGUACAGAGGCUAAGGAAAUUUCUGUAAGCGAUGAAAUAAAUGUUAGUACGAAGGCGAUCAAGGCACCAUUCAGUUGCCAAAGUGAAAACAGGCAACCGUGGUAAACGGAAGACAAAGUGAGUUCUAAUGACAAAGGACACUGGACUUGACAGACCUUGUGAAUGAACAGCCCAAUCCUAACACUUAAUCUCACUUUCUUUUGUAGUAUUUUUUUUCCAGCUUCUACCUGUAAUACCAAAAAGAUCAUUUUCCCGUACAGUAUCUCCUACCAAUACUUUUUCAAAAUUAGCUUUUCAUCGUAAGUGUACUUAAAGAAGUCAGGAUCCUUAAGUCAGCCGGACCAAUUGUUUAAUCCCCACUCCUCAAAUGGUCCCGGCCUUCAGUACAGUAAGAGGCAGAGUCCGCCAGGCUGUGGGAAAGAGCACAUCUCAACAGCCGGCGGGGGAAGCAGGCUGCCCGCUCUUCCUACGGGGCUCUGCGAGAGAGCCGACCACGGAGGACGGCUUUUACUGUGGUCACAUGUCUACCAGUAUUUAAAAAUAUAAAUUACCAAUAUAACAGAGUAAACUACAAAAGAUCAGAGUGAGCUGUACAUGGCAAAGGUCAGUGUGGUCUUGUGAAACUUUUGUUUUACAUAUGGAACGGGUUUCUGUCUGUUUCUUACUGUGGGUCAUAAUCAGUGACCUCUGAACUCCUUUGCCCUUAACUAACCUUUCUUCUUCUAAGGACACAGUGACUGAAGGGCCCUGCCUGGAUUUAAACCCCUGAAAAAAGACACGACUAUUUCUGUCUUGGAAGAGCCCUUGUUUGUGAAAUGGGAAGAUCCAAGCCAACCUUAUAACUGUUAAGGUCUCUUGAAAGUUGUUUACAGGGUGAAUUAAUUUUGCUCAAGUCUACUUCUGCAACAUCAUCUUCAAAUAUUUGUGUAACGGGAAUGUUCUAACUGGAGCACUUCAUUUGCUUCUCAUUGCUUGAAGCCAAGGGGCUGAUUUGCAUCGCUUUCUUUAAUUGGGCUCCUGGUCUCCAUAAAUUGUGUGGCUUCAGCAUUGCUCUGGCUUCUGUAACUAGCCAAGCUCACUUGGAUAAAUUUCUGAAGAAAUAUCCGUGUUUACUUCUACAUGGGCGUUGGGGAAAGUUCUGGGGUCCUGGCAGGAGGAUUAAUAUCCAGGAUAAAGGAAACAGCCGCUGGACCUGCAAGGCUGGGUAGGAAUACCUCUUUCACCUCCUUCCUGGAGAAGCCCCAGUUGCAUAAAAGGUCAGAACGUGCCCAGAGAAGAUAAAUAAACCUUUCUAGGGCCCACGCUGCUGCACGGCAGAUUUCUUUCUUCCUUGUUCUUAUAUGUUCUCCUAACUCCGAAGAACUCUCUCAAUGAUGCAGAGGAAGGCCAGGCACGCUCCAGCCUGCCUGGGGAAUCUGACUUGAUAACAGGAAUAAAAAGAAGGAAAUCUGAAGUCUGUCUUUUUAUGUACAAGUAAAUCUACCAACAAAAUACGGCUAUCAACGGACAAGUCUGAUGGAAGAAAGAAAGAGAGGAGAGAGACCUUGACUGAACCCUAAGAUUAAACCCGGUGCCGGUCUGUUGUUAGGUUGAAGAAGGCAAACACCCACUGGCUGGUGAUCUUUAAAGGCAAAAGCAACUUCAUAUUCCAUCCUCCCUCCUUUCGACAAGCGUGUAGUGAGUACUUCCUACGGGUCAUGAGCUGGCACUAAGCUCUGAGAGGUACAAAGAUGACUAAGACAGAGUCCUGUCCUCAAAUGGCACACAGCCCAGUGGGGAAGCCAGCUCAGGAGACGGAGCCGGGGGGUGGGCAGGAGGUGACAUCUGGAGUCGGUAGGAAUUGGCAGAGACUAAAAGUUGGUGAGGGAGCAAGGGAGGGAGAAGAACGCAGUAGAGCAGAGAUGAGAAAAGGGACGGGGGUUAGCGACAGGAGACAGAAGCCCGGGCGCUCCAGGAACCAGGACGAUCGUUAACGACAGAGCGAGCCUGUUUGUGUGAGCAAAGGAAGUACAGCCGGCCCGGGGCCGCAGGCUCCCGCCCAGCGGCAAAUUAUGUUUUUCUGAGCGCUGCUUGUGACGGAGCAUUUGCAGCACGACGAGUUUCCUGAUUCUGGUUCACAUAUAGCUUAAGAUGCUAUAGAUAUACCUGGCAAGAAGCAGCCAGAAAAGACACGAUGCUUCCGAAAGCUUCGUCUUUUUCAAACCUCCUUUCUCUUUAUAAGAGCGAAGCAAAACAAACCCCCAACCACAAAGGUCCCCUCUAGUCUCUUUAGAAAAUUGCUAUACAAGUAUGACUACAGUGUUGCUUUUAAGAUAGUGAAGGAUCUUUUUGCCCCACCUCCCUUUUUCCCUUUAAUUCAUUCCCAAACAAAAAGAGAACACGAAAGAGAAGAACGGCGUCUCUGAUGUAAUCGGGAGACACCUGUCAGCCAGAGGCAGAAGUGGUCUGAGCCCAGAGGAGGAACGUGACCCGAGCGCCCGCCAGAGAGAAGUCAGCAGUGGAUGUCUGGUCACCACGUCUUGGGACGGGGCGCUCCUGGGCUGAGGUCGGUGCUGCAGGCAGGCCUGGACCUGGAACCCGCCUCGCAGGUGCCCAGGAUAACGCCGGAGGGAUGGAAGGAGAGAAGCUCCAGGCCCAGUGGACGGGGUGCAGGGGGCGUGGAGGACACUGGGAGCAAGGAGAGUGAGGCGCACCUGGCCCGGGCCACAGCCGGGCUGCACCUGAGGACGCCAAGCUGAGUGAAAUGAACCCGGCACAAAAGGACACAUACGAAAACCCACAACAACAGCAAAGAAAGACACUGAUGUCCGCUCCCCAGGGCACCUCCGGAACGCUGAUGGCCAGGCGGUGCUCCCACCGGCAGGGCCUGGAAGAUCCUCUUCAGAAGGAACUAAACAGUCCCAGAGAACAGACCUGAAGAUACUGCCGGGUGAGGAUGCUGACAGUGAGCCCGGUGGUCCAGAGGCCCUUGUUCCAGAAGACGUCUCACCGAAGCAAGGGGGAGAAGGUAAGCCUCAGAGGAGGACAGAGGACAGGAUGACAGGGACAGAAGCGUAGACAGGGGGCUCUGACGAUCACCCCAGGAGGUCUACUGUCCUACCAGUGAGUGAUUUGGAAAGAGGCAAGGAGCGAAUUUUCAAAGAAGCAAUACACGAAAACUUCCCAAAAUCUAUGCCUACAAGUUUCCAAAUCAAAAGAACAAAACAGGUACCGAGCUGACAUAAAAAUGACAGAAGUGUCACACCAAGGUACAUGGCCAUAAAUCUCAGGGACAAAGAAGGAUCUCGAAUGCUUCCAUAGAGGAAACGGGAUCCUAGGGAGGAGAUAGGUACAGAAGCCAUCAGCCUUCAGGGCAGCCACUCGGAAAGCUGAGGUCAGUGGAAGAAGUUGCUUAAAAUUCUAGGUGAGGACGUUUGGUGAACUAGCGUUCGUAACAUAAACAAAUUUGGUAACUGGACUUAUUUAGCUGUUUAAGUAUAUUUAGGGCACGAGUCUCUCCAGAAGAAGUCCUAUUUGGAGCGGAGUCUAUCUUCUAGGUACGAACUAGAAGAAUAUUAUCUUUGAUGCCUCCAAUUUUCACGAGGCAAUCUCCAAAGUCGAGCACGCAACAAUCGUGAUCUGUUUACUCAUUCGGCGUCCCCACCCAUGAGGGGAGAGUGCUUCACUGCAAGAGCUUUCGGUCUAGGGGCUGCAUAUUUAAAUUCAUAACUA